Molecule: long non-coding RNA, 2486 nt
Organism: Dermochelys coriacea (leatherback sea turtle)
Lineage: Eukaryota; Metazoa; Chordata; Testudines; Dermochelyidae
Exons: 4
Source: RefSeq, a predicted model, not a curated record
CUACUGCACCUGUGCAGUUUGUCAAGCCUAGGAACGGUAUGCUAAAACAAACUGAGCUAGCGCUUCCAGGUUAGGAUUAUGUGUUGAAGAAUAGUUUGAGAGCACUGCCAGCAUGUGCCUUCUGAGAAAAGAAGGGCCAGUUUGUUUCUUCUGUUGAAACCCUGGGAUUAAGCCUUGGCCAUUAGCCAGGCAGAAGGUUAGGAGCUGAGAUUUGCUCAGUCUGAAAGACUGCUUCUCCUUCUCUUGCAUGUGGGUGGAGGCCUAGAGACUGGUAAGCUGUGAAAAUAUCUUGUUUGAACUGUUUUAUAACCCCUGGAACAGGGUGGGCUUUUUAAGAGGGAUAGCAAGAGGACUGCACCCCAUACCUUGCAACUGGACCACAGGAUUGUCACUGCUCAGGGAAUGACAAAUGAGGUAACUGGACUUUGACUUGCUGUGCAUCACACAAUGCAUCUCAGAUUGCCCGAAGUGACGUCCCCAUGAAUAUCAAAUUGUUCUGAAUGUGCUGGGACAACUCACUCUCUGACCCAAAGCUUCGUUCUUGUGUGAUGUUGGUGCACAGACAUUUGCUGGUUGUGGCCAUAGGAAGCUGCAUUGGAGAGAGACUAACCUUUGGUACUAGAGAGCUGAUGGAUUUAAAGCCAUUUUCGGAGACCAAGUGACAGACUUGUCAGCUCUUCUGUAUGUCAAAGAGCAGCAAGAAGAGGAAUCUUUAUCACGAAAACCUGCUGAGUGAAAGGGAGGUGGCCUCCACUCUGAAGACUUUCAUGGAUCUGUACGGAGCCACCUAAAACUUUUUCAAUACUCUGUCUUAGUGGAAAACAAUUUAAAAGUGGAGGGAACAUAGGAUAUAAUCUUCCAGAAACAGAGUUGGCAAAGGAACUGUAUUUUGUUCCUAGCUAAUAAAUUCAGCUUUCAGGAAGAAAUUCUUAUAAGGUUCAUUUACCAGCUUUUAAGAAAGGAAAAUGAAUGUGUUAAUUAUGUACAUUUUUACCAUCUGCUAAAUGAGGUAAUUUCGGCCAGGCCUUGGCAACCUCUUCCUGGACAUAAACUUUAAAAACAAGCUUUUUCAACCAUAAAAUUACUGCCCUGGAAAAGGACAGAUAAAUGUCUAAGCAAGCGCCUCAUUACUGUCAAAGCUGUGAUUUGUUGUUUCAUUAUAAUGUGUUUUCCUUGUUAUUGGUGUUAAGGUUGAGUCAGCCUUUCCAUUAUAAAUACCCUCCUAAUUUUAGGGUGACAUGGCUCAGCUGUUAAAAAAAAUUUUAAAAAAAGUUGCACUGGGCUGAAAUGAGGAAUUGUGUUCUCAAGCUAAAUGCAAGGAUCAAAACAAGAGAUUGGAUUUUCAGAAACAUUUUAAGGCACUUCUGGGAUUGACAAAUGCCUGGCUUUUCAAGAGCUCAUAUCUGCCAUUUUAUUGUUGAGCAGUACCGUAACCCAUUGAAGCCAAUAGGGCUAUGUUCAGAAUAAGGUGGGCUUAAUUAACUGCACGCUUGCUCAGUAAAACAAGAGGGGUGCAAACAGCUUCCCCUGGGUGUGGUACCCACAUUGUAAAAACCUGCAUCAAGCUCCUACUUCCCCUCUUAAUGCAAGUAGCUGGGCAUGGGUAGGACCUUGGCUCUGUUCCCCCCUCACCUGCCAUAUGCUGGCAAGUGUAGCUGUGCCAGCGUGGUGGGGGAAGUAAUCUGCACCAAGAAUGAGGUGAGGGCAGGUUGCUUCUUCCCUGGAGCAGGGGGAAACUGGGAGGCUGGAAUCUGGUUCCUUGUCUGCUCCUAGGGCCGGGCAACAGUACACUUUCCUUUACUUGGCCUUCAGGCACUACUGCAAUAUAAAUGUUAAAUAACAAGGAAUGAGAGGAAUGAUACUUGGGGCUUGUGACAAAGCCACAGUUCAGCUCAAAGUGUGAAGAUGCAGAGUUUAUUCCUCCUCAAUUAAUUACUUUAGAGCCAUUGUCCCUCAGAGUGAUCUGCUUUAUGUGCUGAACAUUUGACAUAUUACGGACCUGCAGCUGCUGUUGAAAAUGGGAUCAUUUUUGACAAAUCGGUAGCUUGCAAACUCUGAGUAAAACUUACCAGCUCCUGAAUUUCAGUUGUGGACUAUUUUUUGUUCCCCUUUUUUUCUUUCAAAUGAGUGCACAGUAAGGCUCAGCUGCCCCUGAGGUUUCAUGUUAAUUACCAACUAGUAUUGGCUCAAGAAGAAGUGUAACAUACAUUCCAAUAGUCAGCUGUAACAAACACAAAUAAAAAUAAAUGUUUUAAAACUGCAGGCAUUAAUAAAGGUAGCAUCUGAAUGUGGCCAGUGGGAUAGGAGCAGGGAUGAUCUAAGUAACAGUCUAAGAAUAUCUAAAGGUGAUGGACAAAAUGUGGGGAAGUACAAGAUGAGAUGCGUGUGUGUUUUUUUUUAAACGUGUAUAUCUUGUUGACUUCUUAUAAAAUGCACCAUCAGCAAUAGAUCUUAGAACAAAUUUUGAAAGAGAAAGUAGUUAAGGA